RNAcentral lists this unclassified non-coding RNA (16 nucleotides) under synthetic construct. The record is from RNAcentral.
CGAAACAUAGAUUCGA